This is a long non-coding RNA of Pangasianodon hypophthalmus (striped catfish), 587 nucleotides long. RefSeq lists it as uncharacterized. The transcript has 3 exons. The record is from RefSeq and is a predicted model, not a curated record. Lineage: Eukaryota; Metazoa; Chordata; Actinopteri; Siluriformes; Pangasiidae.
CUGAGCAUGGAUUACACACUGCAUGCUUUUUCUCACUUUAGUCCAGCGUGUGCAAAUUCCUGGCUCGGAUUUUAUUUUUAUAGCAUUUCAUUUCUGAAGAAAUGGCAGUCCGGGAUGGCUGAGAAUGCCUACGAAUUGUGCGUGAUAUGCCAUAUUGCGUGAAAAGAGGACUGGAUUUUGAACCCUGCAUUCACUUGUGCUUGAGUCAGAGUCAGGCAUUUCACACAGAACUGUGCUCUUGCUUCUCACUGAACAUGAUCACUGAUUAAAAGCCAAACAGAGACGUUUUCCUUUGCACGAGGACUGAAAGCUCACCGCUUGGACGUGAGAUGACAGAGGUGCAGCCGGUGUUGGACUUUGCCUCGUCAGGAAGGUCUGGACGACGCAAUGCUCUGCCUGACAUUUUAGGCUCACCAGCAGGGGUUAACCCAUCUGACCUCCCCCUGAAAUUGACUGAGCUGUCUCUCACAGCAGAUGGGCCAGGUGGAGUUCAGUCCCCAACGUCAGAGGAGGCCUGUCUGCCUGCUGAGAGCUCUGAGGGAAAGGACGAAUCCUAAAAACCUCCCAGUCUCCACUAUGAGAAGCCC